RNAcentral lists this ribosomal RNA (380 nucleotides) under uncultured eukaryote. RNAcentral describes it as "partial 18S ribosomal RNA". It matches the Rfam family "Eukaryotic small subunit ribosomal RNA", at positions 592 to 976 of the family's 1831-position model. The record is from RNAcentral.
CAAUAGCGUAUAUUAAAGUUGUUGCGGUUAAAAAGCUCGUAGUUGGAUUUCUGCUGAGAACGACCGGUCCGCCCUUUGGGUGUGUAUCUGGCUCUUUCUUGGCAUCUUCUUGGUGAACGUUGCUGCACUUGACUGUGUGGAGCGCUACCCAGGACUUUUACUUUGAGGAAAUUAGAGUGUUUCAAGCAGGCAUACGCCUUGAAUACAUUAGCAUGGAAUAAUAAGAUAGGACCUCGGUUUUAUUUUGUUGGUUUCUAGAGCUGAGGUAAUGAUUAAUAGGGAUAGUUGGGGGCAUUCGUAUUUAACUGUCAGAGGUGAAAUUCUUGGAUUUGUUAAAGACGGACUACUGCGAAANCANNNGCCAAGGAUGUUUNCAUNGA